AUGCUGCCAACACCGCCCGUGGGCCACGGCCACUGUGUCUCCAUGCAAUGGACCGACAUCGUCAUCGACCCCUCCCUCCUCAACGACACCCAUAUCGUCUUCGGCGCCGGCGUCGCAGCAGAGGUACUGCUCAUAUCUGAGAACCAGGUGUUUGGAAAGACCGUAGGAGCCCUGAGACACGGUGAUGUGCAGAAUAAUAUUACCAUUGCUGCGCGGCUGUGGCGCCACCGCACUGGCAGGCGGUACAGCCCGACCAACACAUUCAACGAUUUUCAUCUACAUCACGAGCUCACUGCUACCCCAGAGACACUUCCGUCUCUCUCCCUCAUAGCAUCCCACGUACCCCUGUGCUACACCCAGCCCAAAUACAAUUCUUCAUCUCUCUCAUGUUAG
RNAcentral lists this ribosomal RNA (393 nucleotides) under Triticum aestivum (bread wheat). RNAcentral describes it as "partial small subunit ribosomal RNA". The record is from RNAcentral. Lineage: Eukaryota; Viridiplantae; Streptophyta; Magnoliopsida; Poales; Poaceae.